GACGAACGCUGGCGGCGUGCCUAAUACAUGCAAGUAGAACGCACAGUUUAUACCGUAGCUUGCUACACCAUAGACUGUGAGUUGCGAACGGGUGAGUAACGCGUAGGUAACCUGCCUGGUAGCGGGGGAUAACUAUUGGAAACGAUAGCUAAUACCGCAUAAUAUUAAUUAUUGCAUGAUAAUUAAUUGAAGGUGCAAUUGCACCACUACCAGAUGGACCUGCGUUGUAUUAGCUAGUAGGUGAGGUAACGGCUCACCUAGGCGACGAUACAUAGCCGACCUGAGAGGGUGAUCGGCCACACUGGGACUGAGACACGGCCCAGACUCCUACGGGAGGCAGCAGUAGGGAAUCUUCGGCAAUGGACGAAAGUCUGACCGAGCAACGCCGCGUGAGUGAAGAAGGGUUUCGGAUCGUAAAGCUCUGUUGUAAGAGAAGAACGGGUGUGAGAGUGGAAAGUUCACACUGUGACGGUAUCUUACCAGAAAGGGACGGCUAACUACGUG
This 504-nucleotide ribosomal RNA is filed under the name uncultured bacterium. Its description in RNAcentral is "partial 16S ribosomal RNA". It matches the Rfam family "Bacterial small subunit ribosomal RNA", at positions 28 to 507 of the family's 1533-position model. The record is from RNAcentral.